CAAUAGCGUAUAUUAAAGUUGUUGCAGUUAAAAAGCUCGUAGUCGGAUUUCGGGUUGGCGCGGUCGGUCUGCCGUUGGGUAUGCACUGACUGUCGCCUUCCUUUCCGGGGUAGAUCGUGCGUUUACUCGUGCGUUUCUCCUCGCGUUUACUUUGAGAAAAUCAGAGUGUUCAAAGCAGGCCUUUGCCAUUGUAUGUGUUAGCAUGGGAUAAUGGAAUAGGACUCUGGUGCUAUUUUGUUGGUUUCGAACGCCGGGGUAAUGAUUAAUAGGGACAGUCAGGGGCACUCGUAUUCCGUAGAGAGAGGUGAAAUUCUUAGACCCACGGAAGACGCACUACUGCGAAAGCAUUUGCCAGGGAUGUUUNCACUGA
Molecule: ribosomal RNA, 370 nt
Filed under: uncultured eukaryote
Lineage: Eukaryota
Description: partial 18S ribosomal RNA
Rfam family: Eukaryotic small subunit ribosomal RNA
Source: RNAcentral